RNAcentral lists this ribosomal RNA (107 nucleotides) under Bacteroidales bacterium. The record is from RNAcentral. Lineage: Bacteria; Pseudomonadati; Bacteroidota; Bacteroidia; Bacteroidales.
UGGUUAUAGAGCAGGUGUUCACCUCUUACCAUUCCGAACAGAGAAGUUAAGCCCUGCCUCGCCGAUGAUACUGCACUACCAUGUGGGAAAGUAGGUCGCCGCCAAUC